Molecule: transfer RNA, 91 nt
Organism: Colletotrichum sublineola
Lineage: Eukaryota; Fungi; Ascomycota; Sordariomycetes; Glomerellales; Glomerellaceae
Rfam family: tRNA
About the family: Transfer RNA (tRNA) molecules are approximately 80 nucleotides in length. Their secondary structure includes four short double-helical elements and three loops (D, anti-codon, and T loops). Further hydrogen bonds mediate the characteristic L-shaped molecular structure. tRNAs have two regions of fundamental functional importance: the anti-codon, which is responsible for specific mRNA codon recognition, and the 3' end, to which the tRNAs corresponding amino acid is attached (by aminoacyl-tRNA synthetases). tRNAs cope with the degeneracy of the genetic code in two manners: having more than one tRNA (with a specific anti-codon) for a particular amino acid; and 'wobble' base-pairing, i.e. permitting non-standard base-pairing at the 3rd anti-codon position.
Source: Rfam
GGGCGAUUGGCUCAGUGGUAGAGCGCCCGCUUUGCAUCAUAAUCUUGAUCAUGAAUGCGGGAGGCCCAGGGUUCAAUCCCCUGAUCGUCCA